UAGGGAAUAUUGGUAAUCUGGGAAACCGGGAACCAGCAACGCCGCGUGCGCGAUGAAGGCCUUCGGGUUGUAAAGCGCUUUUUGGAAGGAUUAGGAAGGAAUGUACUUCCAGAAUAAGUCUCGGCUAACUACGUGCCAGCAGCCGCGGUAACACGUAGGAGGCAAACGUUAUCCGGAUUUACUGGGCGUAAAGCGCGUGUAGGCGGUUUGAUAAGUUGGAUGUGAAAGCUCCCGGCUCAACUGGGAGAGGUCGUUCAAAACUAUCAGACUUGAGAGUGGUAGAGGGAGGUGGAAUUCCGCGUGUAGUGGUGAAAUGCGUAGAUAUCCGGAGGAACACCAGUGGCGAAAGCGGCCUCCUGGCCCAUUUCUGACGCUCAGACACGAAAGCUAAGGUAGCAAACG
This 402-nucleotide ribosomal RNA is filed under the name uncultured prokaryote. RNAcentral's name for it is "bacterial SSU rRNA". It matches the Rfam family "Bacterial small subunit ribosomal RNA", at positions 355 to 774 of the family's 1533-position model. The record is from RNAcentral.